GCAUGUUUUUGACAUUUGAAAAAUGGACUGCUCAGUAAUACUCACUUUAUUUUAUGUAAAUUUUUAAUUAACUACGUUAAAGUGUAGAUAAGAUGUUUACAGUAAGAGUGAGACCUAUCAGCUAGUUGUUAAGGUAAUGGCUUAACAAGGCUGUGACGGGUAACGGUAUUACUUUGUAAUAUUCCGGAGAAGGAGCCUGAGAGACGGCUACUAAGUCUAAGGAUUGCAGCAGGGGCGAAACUUGACCUAUGGAUUUUAUCUGAGGCAGUUAUGGGAAGUAAUAUUAUAUUGUUUCAUAUUUUAAAAGUAUAUGAGGUGAUUAAUUGGAGGGCAAAUCAAGUGCCAGCAGCCGCGGUAAUACUUGUUCCAAGAGUGUGUAUGAUGAUUGAUGCAGUUAAAAAGUCCGUAGUUUAUUUUUUUAAGAAGCAAUAUGAGGUGUACUGUAUAGUUGGGAGAAAGAUGAAAUGUGACGACCCUGACUGGACGAACAGAAGCGAAAGCUGUACACUUGUAUGUAUUUUUUGAACAAGGACGUAAGCUGGAGGAGCGAAGAUGAUUAGAUACCACUGUAGUUCCAGCAGUAAACUAUGCCGACGAUGUGAUAUGAAAAUGUUAAUUUGUAUUACAUAAUAGAAAUUUGAGUUUUUUGGCUCUGGGGAUAGUAUGAUCGCAAGAUUGAAAAUUAAAGAAAUUGACGGAAGAAUACCACAAGGAGUGGAUUGUGCGGCUUAAUUUGACUCAACGC
Molecule: ribosomal RNA, 745 nt
Filed under: Vairimorpha ceranae
Lineage: Eukaryota; Fungi; Microsporidia; Nosematidae
Description: bacterial SSU rRNA
Rfam family: Microsporidia small subunit ribosomal RNA
Source: RNAcentral